Molecule: ribosomal RNA, 635 nt
Filed under: Nostoc humifusum AUS-JR/DB/NT-019
Lineage: Bacteria; Bacillati; Cyanobacteriota; Cyanophyceae; Nostocales; Nostocaceae
Description: bacterial SSU rRNA
Rfam family: Bacterial small subunit ribosomal RNA
Source: RNAcentral
UCCGGACGGGUUCAGUAACGCGUGAGAAUCUAGCUUCAGGUCGGGGAUAACUACUGGAAACGGUGGCUAAUACCGGAUGUGCCGAAAGGUGAAAGGCUUGCUGCCUGAAGAUGAGCUCGCGUCUGAUUAGCUAGUUGGUGUGGUAAGAGCGCACCAAGGCGUCGAUCAGUAGCUGGUCUGAGAGGAUGAUCAGCCACACUGGGACUGAGACACGGCCCAGACUCCUACGGGAGGCAGCAGUGGGGAAUUUUCCGCAAUGGGCGAAAGCCUGACGGAGCAAUACCGCGUGAGGGAGGAAGGCUCUUGGGUUGUAAACCUCUUUUCUCAGGGAAUAAGAAAGUGAAGGUACCUGAGGAAUAAGCAUCGGCUAACUCCGUGCCAGCAGCCGCGGUAAUACGGAGGAUGCAAGCGUUAUCCGGAAUGAUUGGGCGUAAAGCGUCCGCAGGUGGCGAUGUAAGUCUGCUGUUAAAGAGCAAAGCUUAACUUUGUAAAAGCAGUGGAAACUACAUAGCUAGAGUACGUUCGGGGCAGAGGGAAUUCCUGGUGUAGCGGUGAAAUGCGUAGAGAUCAGGAAGAACACCGGUGGCGAAGGCGCUCUGCUAGGCCGUAACUGACACUGAGGAAGGAAGAAAGGA